UAUGAGAAACUUUACUUCUGUGCCUUAGAU
This 30-nucleotide non-coding RNA is filed under the name Rattus norvegicus (Norway rat). Lineage: Eukaryota; Metazoa; Chordata; Mammalia; Rodentia; Muridae. The record is from RNAcentral.